CAUUCGCAGAUCUUCCCCAAUCUGCUCCGUGCACCCCCCGAUCCCCCCCGAUCCCCUCCACGCACCCACGGGCAGGUGAAGGGACGGAGCGGCAGAAGGGCAGCGGUGGUGAGCGCGGACGGAGGAAGAGGGCGGAGGUACGGGAGGAGGAGAAAGGGACGACAAGACCAAAAAAAGGGAUCCGUUCCUUCAGCAAAGGGAUCUAUUCCUUCAAGAAGGGGAUCCAGUCCUUCGGGGAGAGCCCUGAGAAUUCGGGGUGCCCCCAACACCACCUCGCGGCGGAGGCCCCACGAGCGGAAACCCCCUCRGGAACGGGUCUCGAAAGCGCCGGAUCCCACCACCCUCUAGCGGAGACGAGGCGGAAGCACCGGGGCACCGGCGGCAGCGGGAUCCCGGGAGCGCGGGGCCCUCGGGGGGCGCGUGGAGGGAGGGAUGGGGGGAGACCACGUGGGGAUGGAGGGAGAGAGGGAUGGGGAAAGAAAUGGAGACCACGGGGGGAUGGAAAGAGGGAUGGAGAUGACGUGGGGAUGGAGGCCACGGGGGGAUGGAGGAAAAGAGGGAUGGAGACCACGUGGGGAUAGAGGGAGAGAGGGAUGGAGAAAGAAAUGGAGACCACGUGGGGAUGGAAAGAAGGAUGGAGACCACGUGGGGAUAGAGGGAGAGAGGGAUGGAGAAAGAAAUGGAGACCACGGGGGGAUGGAAAGAGGGAUGGAGAUGACGUGGGGAUGGAAAGAGGGAUGGAGGCCACGUGGGGAUGGAGGGAGACAGGGAUGGAGAAAGAAACGGAGACCACGUGGGGAUGGAAAGAGGGAUGGAGACCAAGUGAGGAUGGAGAUGGAGGAAUGGAGGGAUAGAGGGACAGAGGGAUGGAGAAAGAAAUGGAGACCACCUGGGGAUGGAAAGAGGAAUGGAGACUACGUGGGGAUGGAGAGAUGGACAAAAAUCACAUGCAGAUGGAAAGACGGAUGGAGACCACACGGGGAUGAAGACCACACGGAAACGGAGAGACGGAGACCACGUGCGGAUGGAUGAAAACCACGUAGGGACGGAGAGAGGGACGGAAACCACGUGGCGGUGGAGAAGUGGAGGCCGCGUGGGCACGGGGGGCUGGACCCAGAUGUCCCAGCUCCUUGGGGCAGCUCGUYGUGGGGCAGGAGGCUGCGGGGUGGCCUCGAGUCCUCGGGGUGGUCCCGGGUCCCCACGGUGGUCCCCUGGAGGUCCCCAAGAAGGUCCCACCUCCUUGGGGUGGUCCGAGGGGUGGCCCCGAGCCCUUGAGGACACCCCCGUGGGGUCCCUGGGGUGACCUGAAGCCCUCGGGGUGGCCCCAAGUCCUUGGAGACACUUUCGUUUGGUCCCUGGGGCGGUCCCAGGUCCCCGAGAAGGUCCCAGAUCCUUGGGAUGAUCCCAAAUYGUUGGUGACAGCUGUCCUGGGUUCCUGCGGUGGCCCCAAGUCCCUCGGGGGUGACGCCGGGUCCUUGGGGACACUUGUCUUGGGUCCCCGGGGUGGUGCCAGGUGCCCAGAAGAUCCAGGUCCGUUGGGUUGUCCCAAGUCCCUUGAGCGGUCCCAGGUCCUUACCGUGUUCCUGACACCCCGGGGUGGCUCCGGGUCCUCGGGGACACUUGUCCUACRUCCCCAGCGUCCCCUGUCCCGUCUGCCUGGGGUCACCCCACCCGGGCUGGUGCCACCACACUGUCCCUCGCCCCCCGGGGACGUCCCCGAGGGUCCCCAAUGUCCCAUGACCCUCAGACCCCCCCCCUAAAAUUGUCCCCUCCCCCUCCGUCCUCGUCACCGCGCGGUGGCACCGAUCCGGAUGCUCCGCCUCGGCCCUUAACGUCCCCGCCCGGACGCCUGGGUCCCUCCUCUGCUUCGCGCCCCUCCCCCUCCGGAAGGGACCCAGGCGUCCGGGUCCCUCUGUCCCCCCCCCACCCCCGGGGUGUCUGUACUGGGGGACAACACGGCGCCUUUUUGUCACCGCUCUCGUCACCCGCGUCCCCGCCGGCGCUCCCUCGCCGUCGCCCGCCUGCGGGAGGA
RNAcentral lists this long non-coding RNA (2032 nucleotides) under Apteryx owenii (little spotted kiwi). Its description in RNAcentral is "lncRNA (ENSAOWG00000001961.1)". Lineage: Eukaryota; Metazoa; Chordata; Aves; Apterygiformes; Apterygidae. The record is from RNAcentral.